CAGUCGCCGCGGGAAUACAUAGGUGGCGAGCGUUAUCCGGAUUUAUUGGGCGUAAAGGGUGCGUAGAUGGUUUUGUAAGUCUAAAAUUAAAGCCCAAGGCUCAACCUUGGUUUGUUUUAGAUACUACUUAACUAGAGUAUAGGAGAGGUUAGUGGAAUUUCAUAUGGAGCGGUGGAAUGCGUAGAUAUAUGAAGGAACACCAGUGGCGAAGGCGACUAACUGGCCUAUUACUGACAUUGAGGCACAAAAGCGUGGGGAGCAAAUAGGAUUAGAGACCCCAGUAGUCCCUGUCUCUUAUACA
RNAcentral lists this ribosomal RNA (301 nucleotides) under uncultured bacterium. RNAcentral describes it as "partial 16S ribosomal RNA". It matches the Rfam family "Bacterial small subunit ribosomal RNA", at positions 509 to 808 of the family's 1533-position model. The record is from RNAcentral.